Long non-coding RNA from Eriocheir sinensis (Chinese mitten crab), 1528 nucleotides. RefSeq lists it as uncharacterized. Lineage: Eukaryota; Metazoa; Arthropoda; Malacostraca; Decapoda; Varunidae. The transcript is spliced from 3 exons. The record is from RefSeq and is a predicted model, not a curated record.
AGUGCAGGCUGGAGAUGAAGGGCAGGAGAGCGCGGUCAAAGUUGGUGCUGGUGAAGCGGUGGUCCACAUCCCCGCGGCCGAAGGUGUGGACCUUCUUGGUCAAGUCUGGAGGAAGGGGAACAAGGCGGGCGAGCGGCAGACGCGAGCGGACAGACGAAGGAAGAGGACGAGGAAGGAGGAACAUAGAGGAGAGGAAGAGGAAUGGAAGGAGGACGAGGAACGAAGAAGAGCGAAAGAAGGAAGAGAGGAGUGACGGAGAGUAAAGAGGAAGAGGAGAAAACGGAGAAAGAGGAGGAACGAGAACGAGAGACGAGCAGGAAUGGGGGAAGUAGAGGAACAGAGGAAACUGGAGAAAAUAGAAGGAAGACGAAGAGGAGGAAGAGGAAGAAUUAAAGCUCCAGAAGAAAAUGGAAGGAAGACGAAGAGGAAGAAUUAAAGCUCCAGAAGAAAAUGGAAGGAAGACGAAGAGGAGGAGGAAGAAGAAUUAAAGCUCCAGAAGAAAAUGGAAGGAAGACGAAGAGGAGGAGGAAGAAUUGGAGCUCCAGGAAUUGAAGACUUCUAUUCCAGACAUCAUCUUCAUAUCCCAGCGGAGGUUUUGGUGACUCGCGACUCCAUCCAGUGACUCUCCCAGCAGUGUAGAGCAGUCUUGGUAAGUCAUUCAGGGUUUGUUUGCCUCUUUGUAUGCCUCUCUAGUGAUUGUGGCGAUGAGUACUUGCCACACGCCAUUCACAGAGGCAGAAUAGAUAUGAAUAAACCCCAAACGUUGCCAGAUUGUCCUACUCAGCCUCUUAUGUUUGGUGAUUUCAGAGCCAAAACCUGUCUCCUCCACCCCAAUAACUGACUUCAUUUAUAGUUAUCGUUAAAAUGGUUAAUUAUCGGUGUUUCUUGGCAAUAGUUAUGGUAAAUACGAUCCUCUGAGGACGAUAAUCUGGCAAUGGUGAUAAACCCACACUUGUAGACAAAAGAUGUAUAUUUACCAGACUUUCAGGGGACAUUGCUGCAGUCGUCUGUGGUUUAAAGGAACAGUAGGAGGAGGGAUAAGUACAUACAGAGCUUAUUGUAUACACACACGAACAAGUAACCAGACUUUCCCGGUAUUUGACCUUUGAAGUGAUGGGUUUGCACACUCAGGUCACUCCAAAGAUCAUGUACUGGGAAAAUCAUGUUGCUUGUUCGUCUGUGUAUAGGAGGACCUCUGUGUGUACUUUCCCUGCUCCUAACUCUUCCUUAAAACUACUGGAGAUGACGGUAGUGUCUAAUGAAGCAGUCUGGUAUAUAUAUUCAUCUUCCAUCUGCCAGUGUGGGUUCACUAUGCAUCUGUUCUGUCUUGUGUGAAUGAUGUCUGGGGAAUCUUCACCACCACCAUCAUCCACACUAGAGGCACCAAGCACUGACCAACUCACCAGGAUAACUCUACACUGCUGGGAGAGUCACUGGGUGGAAUCACAAGCCACAGACGAACUUCCGCUUGGCUUUAUGGCUGCACCUUCAUGUAACUUGCAGAACCCAAUAAAGAAAAUCAACUGUC